AUGACAGCCCCUCCGUUGCCGAAUGAUGACUUUCUUGAGUGGUGGCCGGCGUCUCAUGGUGCUACGCCGGCAGGGCGACAGGUUGGCAUAUCCUCACUGAUCAUCGUCACAUCCUGGCUCCUGUGGAAGGCUCGAAAUGCAUGUGUUUUCGACACUGAGCAGCCGUCGAUCCUGCGGGUGCUCAAUAGCAUUCGCACAUAGGCGAGGACUUGGGCAGCUGCUGGGGCUACUGGGUUAGAAAACAUGAUCCCUGAGACGAAGGCCAUGCGUUUGAGGACGGUCAAUUAG
Molecule: ribosomal RNA, 288 nt
Filed under: Triticum aestivum (bread wheat)
Lineage: Eukaryota; Viridiplantae; Streptophyta; Magnoliopsida; Poales; Poaceae
Description: partial small subunit ribosomal RNA
Source: RNAcentral